RNAcentral lists this ribosomal RNA (466 nucleotides) under uncultured bacterium. RNAcentral describes it as "partial 16S ribosomal RNA". It matches the Rfam family "Bacterial small subunit ribosomal RNA", at positions 28 to 507 of the family's 1533-position model. The record is from RNAcentral.
GAUGAACGCUGGCGGCGUGCUUAACACAUGCAAGUCGAACGGAAAGGCUCCUGCUUGCAGGGGUACUCGAGUGGCGAACGGGUGAGUAACACGUGGGUGAUCUGCCCUGCACUUCGGGAUAAGCCUGGGAAACUGGGUCUAAUACCGGAUAGGACGAUGGUUUGGAUGCCAUUGUGGAAAGUUUUUUCGGUGUGGGAUGAGCUCGCGGCCUAUCAGCUUGUUGGUGGGGUAAUGGCCUACCAAGGCGUCGACGGGUAGCCGGCCUGAGAGGGUGUACGGCCACAUUGGGACUGAGAUACGGCCCAGACUCCUACGGGAGGCAGCAGUGGGGAAUAUUGCACAAUGGGCGCAAGCCUGAUGCAGCGACGCCGCGUGGGGGAUGACGGCCUUCGGGAUGUAAACUCCUUUCGCUAGGGACGAAGCGCAAGUGACGGUACCUGGAGAAGAAGCACCGGCUAACUACGUG